This 2902-nucleotide ribosomal RNA is filed under the name Escherichia coli. RNAcentral's name for it is "bacterial LSU rRNA". It matches the Rfam family "Bacterial large subunit ribosomal RNA". The record is from RNAcentral. Lineage: Bacteria; Pseudomonadati; Pseudomonadota; Gammaproteobacteria; Enterobacterales; Enterobacteriaceae.
UUAAGCGACUAAGCGUACACGGUGGAUGCCCUGGCAGUCAGAGGCGAUGAAGGACGUGCUAAUCUGCGAUAAGCGUCGGUAAGGUGAUAUGAACCGUUAUAACCGGCGAUUUCCGAAUGGGGAAACCCAGUGUGUUUCGACACACUAUCAUUAACUGAAUCCAUAGGUUAAUGAGGCGAACCGGGGGAACUGAAACAUCUAAGUACCCCGAGGAAAAGAAAUCAACCGAGAUUCCCCAGUAGCGGCGAGCGAACGGGGAGCAGCCCAGAGCCUGAAUCAGUGUGUGUGUUAGUGGAAGCGUCUGGAAAGGCGCGCGAUACAGGGUGACAGCCCCGUACACAAAAAUGCACAUACUGUGAGCUCGAUGAGUAGGGCGGGACACGUGGUAUCCUGUCUGAAUAUGGGGGGACCAUCCUCCAAGGCUAAAUACUCCUGACUGACCGAUAGUGAACCAGUACCGUGAGGGAAAGGCGAAAAGAACCCCGGCGAGGGGAGUGAAAAAGAACCUGAAACCGUGUACGUACAAGCAGUGGGAGCACGCUUCGGCGUGUGACUGCGUACCUUUUGUAUAAUGGGUCAGCGACUUAUAUUCUGUAGCAAGGUUAACCGAAUAGGGGAGCCGAAGGGAAACCGAGUCUUAACUGGGCGUUAAGUUGCAGGGUAUAGACCCGAAACCCGGUGAUCUAGCCAUGGGCAGGUUGAAGGUUGGGUAACACUAACUGGAGGACCGAACCGACUAAUGUUGAAAAAUUAGCGGAUGACUUGUGGCUGGGGGUGAAAGGCCAAUCAAACCGGGAGAUAGCUGGUUCUCCCCGAAAGCUAUUUAGGUAGCGCCUCGUGAAUUCAUCUCCGGGGGUAGAGCACUGUUUCGGCAAGGGGGUCAUCCCGACUUACCAACCCGAUGCAAACUGCGAAUACCGGAGAAUGUUAUCACGGGAGACACACGGCGGGUGCUAACGUCCGUCGUGAAGAGGGAAACAACCCAGACCGCCAGCUAAGGUCCCAAAGUCAUGGUUAAGUGGGAAACGAUGUGGGAAGGCCCAGACAGCCAGGAUGUUGGCUUAGAAGCAGCCAUCAUUUAAAGAAAGCGUAAUAGCUCACUGGUCGAGUCGGCCUGCGCGGAAGAUGUAACGGGGCUAAACCAUGCACCGAAGCUGCGGCAGCGACACUAUGUGUUGUUGGGUAGGGGAGCGUUCUGUAAGCCUGUGAAGGUGUACUGUGAGGUAUGCUGGAGGUAUCAGAAGUGCGAAUGCUGACAUAAGUAACGAUAAAGCGGGUGAAAAGCCCGCUCGCCGGAAGACCAAGGGUUCCUGUCCAACGUUAAUCGGGGCAGGGUGAGUCGACCCCUAAGGCGAGGCCGAAAGGCGUAGUCGAUGGGAAACAGGUUAAUAUUCCUGUACUUGGUGUUACUGCGAAGGGGGGACGGAGAAGGCUAUGUUGGCCGGGCGACGGUUGUCCCGGUUUAAGCGUGUAGGCUGGUUUUCCAGGCAAAUCCGGAAAAUCAAGGCUGAGGCGUGAUGACGAGGCACUACGGUGCUGAAGCAACAAAUGCCCUGCUUCCAGGAAAAGCCUCUAAGCAUCAGGUAACAUCAAAUCGUACCCCAAACCGACACAGGUGGUCAGGUAGAGAAUACCAAGGCGCUUGAGAGAACUCGGGUGAAGGAACUAGGCAAAAUGGUGCCGUAACUUCGGGAGAAGGCACGCUGAUAUGUAGGUGAAGUCCCUCGCGGAUGGAGCUGAAAUCAGUCGAAGAUACCAGCUGGCUGCAACUGUUUAUUAAAAACACAGCACUGUGCAAACACGAAAGUGGACGUAUACGGUGUGACGCCUGCCCGGUGCCGGAAGGUUAAUUGAUGGGGUUAGCGGUAACGCGAAGCUCUUGAUCGAAGCCCCGGUAAACGGCGGCCGUAACUAUAACGGUCCUAAGGUAGCGAAAUUCCUUGUCGGGUAAGUUCCGACCUGCACGAAUGGCGUAAUGAUGGCCAGGCUGUCUCCACCCGAGACUCAGUGAAAUUGAACUCGCUGUGAAGAUGCAGUGUACCCGCGGCAAGACGGAAAGACCCCGUGAACCUUUACUAUAGCUUGACACUGAACAUUGAGCCUUGAUGUGUAGGAUAGGUGGGAGGCUUUGAAGUGUGGACGCCAGUCUGCAUGGAGCCGACCUUGAAAUACCACCCUUUAAUGUUUGAUGUUCUAACGUUGACCCGUAAUCCGGGUUGCGGACAGUGUCUGGUGGGUAGUUUGACUGGGGCGGUCUCCUCCUAAAGAGUAACGGAGGAGCACGAAGGUUGGCUAAUCCUGGUCGGACAUCAGGAGGUUAGUGCAAUGGCAUAAGCCAGCUUGACUGCGAGCGUGACGGCGCGAGCAGGUGCGAAAGCAGGUCAUAGUGAUCCGGUGGUUCUGAAUGGAAGGGCCAUCGCUCAACGGAUAAAAGGUACUCCGGGGAUAACAGGCUGAUACCGCCCAAGAGUUCAUAUCGACGGCGGUGUUUGGCACCUCGAUGUCGGCUCAUCACAUCCUGGGGCUGAAGUAGGUCCCAAGGGUAUGGCUGUUCGCCAUUUAAAGUGGUACGCGAGCUGGGUUUAGAACGUCGUGAGACAGUUCGGUCCCUAUCUGCCGUGGGCGCUGGAGAACUGAGGGGGGCUGCUCCUAGUACGAGAGGACCGGAGUGGACGCAUCACUGGUGUUCGGGUUGUCAUGCCAAUGGCACUGCCCGGUAGCUAAAUGCGGAAGAGAUAAGUGCUGAAAGCAUCUAAGCACGAAACUUGCCCCGAGAUGAGUUCUCCCUGACUCCUUGAGAGUCCUGAAGGAACGUUGAAGACGACGACGUUGAUAGGCCGGGUGUGUAAGCGCAGCGAUGCGUUGAGCUAACCGGUACUAAUGAACCGUGAGGCUUAACCUU